CCAAUAGCGUAUAUUAAAGUUGUUGCAGUUAAAAAGCUCGUAGUUGAAUUUCGGGAUCAAUAUGUUUGGUCGCGCCUCGGUACGUACUAGCUUAUUGGUUUCUCCUUUCUGAAGAACCAUGAUGUCAUUCAUUUGGUGUCGUGGGGAAUCAGGACUGUUACUUUGAAAAAAAUUAGAGUGUUUAAAGCAGGCUCACGCUUGAAUACAUUAGCAUGGAAUAAUGAAAUAGGACGUUUGAUUCUAUUUUGUUGGUUUCUAGGAUCGACGUAAUGAUUAAUAUGGAUAGGUGGGGGCAUUAGUAUUCAAUUGUCAGAGGUGAAAUUCUUGGAUUUAUUGAAGACUAACUACUGCGAAAGCAUUUGCCAAGGAUGUUUUCAUUAAUCAAGAACGAAAGUUAGGGGAUCGAAGACGAUCAGAUACCGUCGUAGUCUUAACCAUAAACUAUGCCGACUAGGGAUCGGAUGAUGUUAAUUUUUUAAUGACUCAUUCGGCGCCUUACG
Molecule: ribosomal RNA, 500 nt
Filed under: uncultured Glomeromycotina
Lineage: Eukaryota; Fungi; Glomeromycota
Description: partial small subunit ribosomal RNA
Rfam family: Eukaryotic small subunit ribosomal RNA
Source: RNAcentral